UGGGGAAUAUUGCACAAUGGGCGCAAGCCUGAUGCAGCAACGCCGCGUGCGGGAAGACAGCCCUAGGGUUGUAAACCGCUUUCAGCAGGGAAGAAACUGACGGUACCUGCAGAAGAAGAUGCGGCCAACUACGUGCCAGCAGCCGCGGUGACACGUAGGCAUCAAGCGUUAUCCGGAUUUAUUGGGCGUAAAGAGCUCGUAGGCGGUUCGGUAAGUCGGGUGUGAAACUCUGGGCUCAACCCAGAGAGGCCACUCGAUACUGCUGUGACUAGAGUGCGGUAGGGGAGGCGGGGAAUUCCUGGUGUAGCGGUGAAAUGCGCAGAUAUCAGGAGGAACACCAGUGGCGAAGGCGGCUACCUGGACCAGUUCUGACGCUGAGGCGCGAAAGCGUGGGGAGCAAACAGGAUUAGAUACCCUGGUAGUCCACGCUGUAAACGAUGGGUACUCGGUGUUGCGGGU
Molecule: ribosomal RNA, 459 nt
Filed under: uncultured bacterium
Lineage: Bacteria
Description: bacterial SSU rRNA
Rfam family: Bacterial small subunit ribosomal RNA
Source: RNAcentral